Molecule: ribosomal RNA, 2040 nt
Filed under: uncultured bacterium MB13C05
Lineage: Bacteria; Pseudomonadati; Fidelibacterota
Description: bacterial LSU rRNA
Rfam family: Bacterial large subunit ribosomal RNA
Source: RNAcentral
CACUUUGGUAAAGCUACUAAGGGUGUACGGGGGAUGCCUAGGCACAUGGAGACGAUGAAGGACGUGAUAAGCUGCGAUAAGCCUCGGGAAGGUGCAAAUAACCUUUGAUCCGGGGAUGUCCGAAUGGGGAAACCCACUUGAAUUAAUCUUCAAGUACUUCUAUUUGAAUACAUAGGAUAGAUAGAGUCAACGGAGUGAACUGACACAUCUAAGUAACUCCUGGAAAAGAAAAUAAAAAUGAUUCCCCUAGUAGUGGCGAGCGAACAGGGAAGAGCCUAAACCAUUAACGUGUCAAGCUUACAGGCGUUGCGUUAUUGGUGUUGUGGGGCAAAUUUGGAACUAACUGUAAUUAGUUCGACGAGUCAAAAAUUCAAUGGUUAGGUGAACGAUCUGGAAAGUUCGAUCAUAGAAGGUGAUAAUCCUGUAACCGAAAACCAGAGAACUCGUUGAUUUUUGUUCCCAAGUAGCGDGGGACACGAGAAAUCUUGUGUGAAUCUGCCGGGACCAUCCGGUAAGGCUAAAUACUCCCAUGUGACCGAUAGUGAACUAGUACCGUGAGGGAAAGGUGAAAAGUACUCCUAACGGAGAGUGAAAUAGAACCUGAAACCGUAUACCUACAAGCGGUCGGAGCUCCAUUUAGGUGGGGUGACGGCGUGCCUUUUGCAUAAUGAGCCGGCGAGUUGCUCGUACGUUGCAAGGUUAAGAAUGGACAUUCGAAGCCGAAGCGAAAGCAAGUCUGAACAGGGCGUUCAGUAGCGUGCGGCAGACCCGAAACUGAGUGAUCUAGCCAUGACCAGGAUGAAUUCUCGGUAACACGAGAUGGAGGUCCGAACCCACUUCGGUUGAAAACGGAGGGGAUGAGUUGUGGUUAGGGGUGAAAGGCCAAUCAAACUCAGAGAUAUCUGGUUCUCGCCGAAAUGCCUUUAGGGGCAGCGUUGUAUUAGUGUAUCGGGGGUAGAGCACUGAAUGGGCUAGGGGGCCUACAAGCUUACCAACCCCAAUCAAACUCCGAAUACCGAAUACAUGAUGUACAGCAGUGAGGCUAUGGGCGAUAAGGUUCAUAGCCAAGAGGGAAACAACCCAGAUCAACAGCUAAGGUCCCAAAGUCAAUGCUAAGUGAAAAAGGAUGUCAAAUCGCCCAGACAGCUAGGAGGUUGGCUUAGAAGCAGCCAUCCUUUAAAGAAAGCGUAACAGCUCACUAGUCGAGGGGUUUUGCGCCGAUAAUAUCCGGGACUAUAAGCAUUGCACCGAAGCUUUGAACUCAAUUUAUUGAGUGGUAGGCGAGCGUUCCAUCGACCGUUGAAGGUUGACCCGUGAGGGCAGCUGGAGGAAAUGGAAAUGAGUAUGCUGGCAUGAGUAGCGUUAAACAUAGUGAAAUUCUAUGUCACCGUAAGCCCAAGGUUUCCUGAGUAAAGUAACUCUGCUCAGGGUUAGUCGGACCCUAAGCCGAGGCCGAAAGGCGUAGGCGAUGGAAAACGGGUAAAAUAUUCCCGUACCAGCGAUUAUUUGUUUGAACUAGGGGGGGACGCAGGAGUGAAAGGUUAGCACGGUAUUGAAUGUCCGUGUCUAAGCAUGUAGGGUGAUCCGGUAGGUAAAUCCGCUGGGUCUUAUAGCCUGAGAUGUGAAUGGGAAGCGCGCCUUCGGGCAAGCCAACUGACCCUAAUCAUACUGCCAAGAAAAUCCUCUAUGUUAGAAUAAUAGCUGACCGUACCGUAAACGGACACACGUGGGCGAGGAGAGUAUCCUCAGGUGCUUCGGAGAAUCAUGGUUAAGGAACUCGGCAAAAUAGCCCCGUAACUUCGGGAGAAGGGGUGCCCUAAUUAGGUAGAGAUCUUCGCGAUCCGAGCUGAACAGGGCCGCAGUGAAGAGGCCCAAUCGACUGUUUAACAAAAACACAGGUCUAUGCUAAGUCGUAAGACGAAAUAUAUGGACUGACACCUGCCCGGUGCCGGAAGGUUAAAUGGAGAGGUUAGCUUUCGAGCGAAGCUUUGAAAUGAAGCCCCGGUAAACGGCGGCCGUAACUAUAACGGUCCUAAGGUA